AACGAACGCUGGCGGCAGGCCUAACACAUGCAAGUCGAGCGGACAUCUUCGGAUGUUAGCGGCGGACGGGUGAGUAACGCGUGGGAACGUGCCCUUUGCUUCGGAAUAGCCUCGGGAAACUGGCAGUAAUACCGGAUGUACCCUUUGGGGGAAAGAUUUAUCGGCAAAGGAUCGGCCCGCGUUGGAUUAGGUAGUUGGUGGGGUAAUGGCCUACCAAGCCGACGAUCCAUAGCUGGUUUGAGAGGAUGAUCAGCCACACUGGGACUGAGACACGGCCCAGACUCCUACGGGAGGCAGCAGUGGGGAAUCUUAGACAAUGGGGGAAACCCUGAUCUAGCCAUGCCGCGUGAGCGAUGAAGGCCUUAGGGUUGUAAAGCUCUUUCACCGGGGAAGAUAAUGACGGUACCCGGAGAAGAAGCCCCGGCUAACUCCGUG
Molecule: ribosomal RNA, 435 nt
Filed under: uncultured bacterium
Lineage: Bacteria
Description: partial 16S ribosomal RNA
Rfam family: Bacterial small subunit ribosomal RNA
Source: RNAcentral